GUGAGCUACCAUGGCGAUGUCCUCUAUGACAAGUACAUCAGGCCUGAGAUGCCCAUCGCUGACUACCGUACCCGCUGGAGUGGCAUCACUCGGCAGCACAUGCGCAAGGCUGUCCCCUUCCAGGUGGCCCAGAAAGAGGUAAGGGCAGGGAUAGGGACUUGUUUGGGAGGUGUGGUGGGCUGGAAAGAGCCACCCUGGGUUUGAAUCACCACUUUGCUUCACUGGGGGCAAGAAACCUUGGGAAAGUCACCUAACUGCUCCAAACAGUAGGUUCCUUCUCCAUAGAACAGGGGAAAUAAAAAUAAAAUCCUGACCUUGCCUCCAGAUAAGGAUUGCUGGCCUGUUGCACAGGGCAAUGUAGAAAGGCUACACCAACUGUAAGGUGAUAAAUAGCUUACGUUUUAGAGUUUGCUUUCUGUUAUAAAAGUUGUACGCAUUGAUAUAAAAUUUGUAAAGCCCACAGUGGCAUCACGUUCAGGUAUGGAUGUUAUGGCAUAUUUCCUUAUGUUAGUUUCUUAGUGCUUAGAAAAAAUUAAUUAGUGGUUGGGACCACACUGAUGCACCAGGAAUUCCCAAACAUGCUUGACCUUAGAAACACCUAAGGCCUUUUUAACAAUCUAGGAUCCUUAUCCCCAGUUUCCUCCAUAGAGUUCCUGAUCCAUUAGGCUUGGGAAGGGCUCUGACCCAUGUUCCAAAAAAUCAUCACACUGUGCAGACUUGCACCAUAAAGCCACAGGGCUUAAGGGGAAAUGGAGAAAGGGAACAGUAUUAAAAAGGCCAUCAGUGACACCCCAAAAAUAAGAUAGAAACCUAAUAAAAAGGUAGUCCAGUUUUACGCAUCUUGUUUCUUUUUUUUUUUUUUUUUCUUAUUCCACACAUCUUAAAUGGUUAAGAAAUGCACAAUACACCAAUAAGUAUGGUACUUUACCUUGAAAAAGACCUGAACUUGCUUGUGGAAACAGGAGUCAGAAAGGUUGCAGCUUGAGUUUCUGUGAAGUGGUUGAAGGAGAGUUCUUUGAAGUCAGACAGGAAGUGUGACACCAGCUGUGGAUGGGUGUGGCUCAUCACACAGGUGAACCAGGGUUGCUGGGAGAUGUUUGGGCUGUGUGCAUAUUGUGUAUGCCCUCUUGGCUUAGUUCAGUUGGAUGCAGUUUUCUGCGUUCAUUCAGUGUUUCUCAAGGAUGAAAUUAUGCAUAAGCAAAGGUGAAAUUUGCAUUGUUCUCAAAAUGUGUCAUACAUCAAUUGCAUUGAGAAAUCUGCAUUUUCUAAACAAGCCUUGUAACAGAACCACUUUUUAACACUUCUGGGUUAUUCUUGGGAUUAGGCAAGGUUGGGAAAUACUGGUGUACACUAUCUCGUGUCCUACUUUUUCACAUAACAUUGUGGCCCGAGCAUUCCUUUGAAAUGAUUGGAGGUUAUUUUAUGUAUCAAGCAGGCCAAUCAGUAAGAGUAGCAACAAGAGGGGAGGUGUGUGGUGAACCCUCCAGCUCCUUGGUCCCUUCCAUUGACCUGGUUGGUGGUGGUCCCAAGAGCAGGACCACUUUUUGUCUGCCCAGACUGAGCCACUGUGGGGUGUGCUUCAUCUCUUUCCACUUCAUGGCUGACUUGGGGGGAGGGGCAGUGUGGUGAGUGACCAGCAUGGUGGCAUGUCCCUACUAUAAAGUCUCAAUGCACCUUAUCCAUCUGCCAUGAAAGCUGGGUUUAGGGAUAAACAUAUGUUGCCAGCAGAGGUAGGCUGUGGAGGCCCGCAGCUGGUGAUAAGGAGAGCCCAAGCCCAGCUAAGAGGGCUAGAGGGGGUUGCUGGCCCAUGGCCCUGGGCGUGGCCUCCCUGGUGUAUGAGGAGGGCCACCCAGCAGGGAAGGGAGGUACACAUUGUGCAGGCAGCCAGAGCUGAGCAAGAGAGCAGGUUAAGAGGGUGAGGAGGAGUUGGUACACAGCAGGGCAAGGGGGCAGAGUCCUGAAGACAGGGAUUAUGGCCCUUAAUGCUCAUAAGAGCUGCUGCUAUGGUGUGUCUACCAGUGACAGGCACGGUUCUGUUGACUUCACCCAGCUGGUCUUUAUUGAUCACCUCCUGUGAUAAGUAAAUAAUCAAUAAAUGUAAUGCUUUCUACUACAGGAAAAAGGCAUUUUUAAAAAAAGAAUAAAUGUGACGCUUUCCUUGGAGCAUCACUAAGAAGUCCAUCUUGGUCCCUGCACUCACAGACCUUACAGUGCGGUGGGGGAGAGUUGGGUGGAGUGGGAGGCCUGGUGACGUCUUCCAGGCUGAGAGGAGAGCCAACGCCAGCAAUAGAGUUGCUUGUAUCUGGUAACAGGAAGACUUCCAUCCAUGACCUCGUUUAGUCCUUAGAGCCACCCCACGGAAUGCUGCUGGCAGUGUUCCCCUUUGACAGGUGCAGAAGACAUAGGUAUGCCCCUGGGUAUAGACAGUAGAAGGGUCUGGGUUCAGACUUGGGGCAGCAUGGUUGACUGUGGAGCUCGUGAUCUCCCCACUCGGUGCUGCCUCCCUCCACAGGGAUCCAUGCACCUAUUGGCCAGGGAUUCUCAGGGCGUGUCUCCUGCCAACCUGACGGGGUGUGGGGUGACCUCCCUGACUCCUCUUUCUGCUCACAGAUCCUUAAGCUCCUGAAGGGCAAGGUGGUGGUGGGGCACGCGCUGCACAACGACUUCCAGGCGCUCAAGUAUGUCCACCCUCGGAGCCAGACCCGGGAUACCACCUAUGUCCCAAACUUCCUCAGCGAGCCCGGCCUCCACACCCGGGCCCGGGUCUCUCUAAAGGACCUGGCCCUGCAGCUGCUGCACAAGAAGAUCCAGGUGGGCCAGCACGGGCACUCAUCAGUAGAAGAUGCCACGACAGCCAUGGAGCUCUACCGGCUGGUGGAGGUGCAGUGGGAACAGCAGGAGGCCCGCAGCCUCUGGACCUGCCCCGAGGACAGAGAACCUGACAGCAGCACAGACAUGGAACAGUACAUGGAGGACCAGUACUGGCCCGAUGACCUGGCCCACGGCAGCAGAGGAGGAGCCAGGGAGGCACAGGACAGAAGGAAUUGAGAAGGGGGCGGGGCUCCCUGGCUGGGCUUCCGGUGUGGCCGGUAGGAAGUGGGGGCCAGGAGAGCAGCGGGCACUCCUUCCUGGGCAGGGUGGGGCAGGAUGCAGUGAGCCAGCCCCAGGGCCAGAGGAGUUGGGGUCAUCUGUUACCUUGACACCCUCUGCUCACAGCAUAGCCCUCUCUCUCUCCAGGGCUGUUGGUUCUUUCUCCUGACUCCUGUGGUUUUGCUAAUGGCACUUUACAGACUCCAUGGAGAUGUCAGGUGGACCAUCUUCUAGGGCCCAGCAGGAGUAGGGAAUGUGCCAACAGACUGCCCAGGUUGCAGUGGCCUUCCCCACCCCCCAGAUCUCCUGAGUCAUCAUGCUGUGCUAAUGAAAGGGAUCAUAUCAUCCUCUCUGGGGAUGGUGGGUGGGGGUGUCAAUAUCCUGGAGCUCCCUUACCCCAACUCAGUGACUUGGGGUAAAGUUCUCUUCCUUUUGUUGCCUACCUCUUCCUCCACUCAUUUGGGUUCAGAAUAAACAUGCCCUGAAGUUAAAGAGGAGUUAAGUCCUAAAGGAGGCAUUUCUUCCCCACCUCCCUGACCUGGAACUCUGGCUACAGCCAUUGUAGGAACUCCGUGCCUGGCCUGUCAGCUCCCUGCUAGGCUACAGUGGAAUAGCAGAGCCCACAGGCUUCUCGUGGGGAGUUGGCUCCUUAACAUUCUUGGCAACAGAAAGCCCCAGGCACAGCUCAGGGAGGAGGGAAGGCAGGUAAGCUUUGGACGAGAACUGGCAUAUUUAUUUUGACCCAAAUCAGGGAUUUCCCCAGUCCACCCAGUACUGGGCUCUUAAGCAAAAGUCUGAGAAACAAGACAGUGGUUUGAAUUCUGGGGCCUUUGUGUAGGAUUGUGCCUGACCUUUAUUUAUUUAUUAAGAGCAGGGCCACUCGUCUAGGGGAGUGGAGUCUGCGUGUCUCCUGGGGCUGGGGCAGGGCAUUGGCAGUUAUGCAGUGGCCCUGAACCUGGUCUGGUGCCCCCGAACCUGGUCUGGUGCCCCCUCAGCUCUUUGACAAUCACUGUGGCUGUUGGGUUUUCUCCUAUUUCUAAAAAUUUUCUCUUCUUUCCUAAGUGACAGUUUUGAAGUAUUGGAUAACCAAGAGCUCAGGUCACACAGACCUUGGAGCCCCAUCUUUGCUUGCAGCUUAGCUUUGAGAUACUAAGCAAGCGAGGGACUUCGCUCUUGAGCCUGUUUUUUCCUCAUCUGUAAAAUGGGGAUAGUGGUACAGCCUACCUCAUAGGGUUGUAAUGAGCACUAAAUGUGAAGUGCUUGGCACAGUGCCUGGCACAUGGUGAGCCACAGCUACUGUGAGCUUCUGUUUAUCCCCCUUUUUUUUUUAAGCCCAAAAAAGGGCCACAACAUUGUUUAUUCUUUGAGAAUUUGUUGUAACUUCUUCAGGAUAACACCUGAGUCCACAGGCUGAGCAGCUGUGGCCCAGACAGAACUGCUCCGGCUUGGCUGUUCCAGCAGGUGGGGCGCUGGCCUCGGUGAGGGCACAGCAGCAAGGUUCACGGAUAUCCGUGUGUCUUGUCUGUGGCCACCAGGCACAGGUUUGGCUUCCGGUCAGUGUCCCGACACUGUGCGGGAGGUGACAACAGAGCAAAGCAGCACAGGGGUCAGGGAGGUAGAGACACUGCUGAAAUCACACUACCCCACCCUCAGCUGAAGCCCCACGUUCCACAAACUUGGGGUCAUAGAUUGUCCAGUCACUGGCUCCCUCCCUGUCAGCACAGCACAGAGGAAGGGGCUAACUGAAUCUUUUACCACUUCUGGCCUGGCUCCAGAACUUUGUUCUAGAUUCCUUAAAAGUCGGUAGCUGAUGUCAAACUCAAUUGAGCAGUAGCUUUGAUCCCUUGGUCUGGGGGUCGAAGGAAGAUGGCGCUGUUAUCAGCGGGGAAAUGUACUAUUUAAGAUCAGCUUUGUUGUAAAACCAUUUGUUCUAGAAUAAAACUCAAUUGGAAAAGUG
Molecule: small RNA, 5047 nt
Filed under: Pan troglodytes (chimpanzee)
Lineage: Eukaryota; Metazoa; Chordata; Mammalia; Primates; Hominidae
Description: retained intron
Source: RNAcentral